This 497-nucleotide ribosomal RNA is filed under the name uncultured bacterium. RNAcentral describes it as "partial 16S ribosomal RNA". It matches the Rfam family "Bacterial small subunit ribosomal RNA", at positions 28 to 507 of the family's 1533-position model. The record is from RNAcentral.
GAUGAACGCUGGCGGCGUGCCUAAUACAUGCAAGUCGAACGGAUAGCGAAAGCUGCUUUCGCCUUUCAGGGGAGUGGCGAGGGGGGUAGUAACACGGUAACAAGCUCCCUCAAGUCGGGGGAUAACAUUUAAAAACAGAUGCUACUACCUAAUAGAACUUAGUGCCUCAUGACACAAAGUUAGAAGCCGCUUCGGCGUCACGUAGAGAUGGAUCCGGGGUGCAUUAGUUAGUUGUGGGGGUAAAGGCCUACCAAGACGAUGAGGCAUAGCCGAGUUGAGAGACUGAUCGGCCACAUUGGGACUGAGACACGGCCAUAACUCCUGCGGGAGGCUGCAGUAGGGAAUCUUCCACAGUGGGCGAAAGCAUGAUGGAGCAACGCCGAGUGUGUGAUGAAGGCUUUCGGGUCGUAAAGCACUGUUGUAUGGGAAGAACAGCUAGAAUAGGAAAUGAUGCUAGUUUGACGGUAACAUAUCAGAAAGCGACGGCUAAAUACGUG